RNAcentral lists this long non-coding RNA (284 nucleotides) under Panax ginseng (ginseng). Its description in RNAcentral is "long non-coding RNA (PGIN_LNC008754)". The record is from RNAcentral. Lineage: Eukaryota; Viridiplantae; Streptophyta; Magnoliopsida; Apiales; Araliaceae.
AAACCCGAACUCGGUUCUCCACGAUACCAUUUCUUUAAGCUGAAUAAUACUAAAUAAUAUUACAUUCGAACUUAAUUUACAUACAUCAAAGUUUACUUCCCCAGGUACGUGACCUUCAAAUACAUUCCUUACAAUACCUGACAAUAGAUUCCAUUGUCUUACUAACUAUAACCAUUAACUCAUAAUAUAAACUCAUUCGAACAGCUUUCCUUUCCCCUUGUUCGUGCCUGAGCCUUCAGGUUGCUCAUACAUAACUGAAAACAUUUAAUUUAAGCAAGGAUGAG